CCUCGAGGACGACCUCGAGGACGACGGGGACGACCUCGAGGACGACCUCG
Molecule: non-coding RNA, 50 nt
Filed under: Micromonas pusilla
Lineage: Eukaryota; Viridiplantae; Chlorophyta; Mamiellophyceae; Mamiellales; Mamiellaceae
Also listed under: 1 other name
Description: Guanidine-II sequence
Rfam family: Guanidine-II riboswitch aptamer (mini-ykkC)
About the family: Simpler in structure and has fewer highly conserved nucleotide positions than the ykkC-yxkD leader. Despite this each of its two stem-loop structures directly bind free guanidine.
Source: RNAcentral